RNAcentral lists this ribosomal RNA (475 nucleotides) under uncultured bacterium. RNAcentral describes it as "bacterial SSU rRNA". It matches the Rfam family "Bacterial small subunit ribosomal RNA", at positions 37 to 507 of the family's 1533-position model. The record is from RNAcentral.
UGGCGGAAUGCUUUACACAUGCAAGUCGAACGGCAGCACGGGAGCAAUCCUGGUGGCGAGUGGCGAACGGGUGAGUAAUAUAUCGGAACGUGCCCGGUCGUGGGGGAUAACGUAGCGAAAGCUACGCUAAUACCGCAUACGAUCUACGGAUGAAAGCGGGGGAUCGCAAGACCUCGCGCGAUUGGAGCGGCCGAUAUCAGAUUAGGUAGUUGGUGAGGUAAAGGCUCACCAAGCCGACGAUCUGUAGCUGGUCUGAGAGGACGACCAGCCACACUGGGACUGAGACACGGCCCAGACUCCUACGGGAGGCAGCAGUGGGGAAUUUUGGACAAUGGGCGCAAGCCUGAUCCAGCAAUGCCGCGUGCAGGAUGAAGGCCUUCGGGUUGUAAACUGCUUUUGUACGGAACGAAACGGUGAGCUCUAAUACAGUUUGCUAAUGACGGUACUGUAAGAAUAAGGAUCGGCUAACUCCGUG